This 434-nucleotide ribosomal RNA is filed under the name uncultured Oscillospiraceae bacterium. Its description in RNAcentral is "bacterial SSU rRNA". It matches the Rfam family "Bacterial small subunit ribosomal RNA", at positions 341 to 792 of the family's 1533-position model. The record is from RNAcentral. Lineage: Bacteria; Bacillati; Bacillota; Clostridia; Eubacteriales; Oscillospiraceae.
ACGGAAGGCAGCAGUGGGGAAUAUUGGGCAAUGGGGGAACCCCUGACCUAGCAACGCCGCGUGAAGGAAGAAGGCCUUCGGGUUGUAAACUUCUUUUACCAGGGACGAUAAUGACGGUACCUGGAGAAAAAGCAACGGCUAACUACGUGCCAGCAGCCGCGGUAAUACGUAGGUUGCAAGCGUUGUCCGGAUUUACUGGGUGUAAAGGGCGUGUAGGCGGAGCUGCAAGUCAGAUGUGAAAUCCCGGGGCUCAACCCCGGAACUGCAUUUGAAACUGUAGCCCUUGAGUAUCGGAGAGGCAAGCGGAAUUCCUAGUGUAGCGGGGAAAUGCGUAGAUAUUAGGAGGAACACCAGUGGCGAAGGCGGCUUGCUGGACGACAACUGACGCUGAGGCGCGAAAGCGUGGGGAGCAAACAGGAUUAGAUACCCUGGUA